RNAcentral lists this long non-coding RNA (1498 nucleotides) under Lactuca sativa (garden lettuce). RNAcentral describes it as "long non-coding RNA (LSAT_LNC006220)". Lineage: Eukaryota; Viridiplantae; Streptophyta; Magnoliopsida; Asterales; Asteraceae. The record is from RNAcentral.
GUCUAAACGAAAGUUGUAGAGUACGUUCCCACCUUCGCGUGGAUAUAAAGAACGUCGAAAAGGGAGCUCGUAUGCGAAAUUUAUGAUUUUUAGAAGUCGGAAAGUGAAUUUGCGAAAUCUGUUGCGAGGGUGAUGACGUGGCUCAAUCAGGGUCGUCGCUUGCUGAUCACGCUUCGCUUCGGAUUUACGACACAUCGCUUCGCAAUACGCCCCGCGUCCGAAGAGGUUACGCCCCGCGUAGGUCCGAUCUGAUCCAUCCGAUGGAGUGCAAGACAGCUGGCUCCGAGCUGGUGGUCUUAUCCGAGGAGUACGCCCAGCGUAACGACCGAAGCCUGGCCCUAUAAAUAGAUGUGCGAGGCUGCCAUUGUUCUUCACUCCAAAUCCACUUCUUUCUCUCACUAGUUUCUCUCUCUAGCUCAUCUAAACCCCCAUAAGCCCUAGUUAAACCCCUUAGCUCCCGAGGGAAGCCCCGAGGCUCCCGGAGUCCCGAGAAAAAGAGCCUUUCGGUUUCGAAACGCUGCUCCAAUUAAGUUCCGGUUUUCGAUAAAAUUCGCUGUAAGUGUGCUACGCUUACGUAAUUUUUAAUAUAGCUUUCAAAUAAUUAUAGGAAUGUUAUUAGGUCCUUAAAAUAAUUAUUUGAGCUAUUAUUAUGAGUUAUAUUGAGUGUUAUUAACGCUUAAUAAUAGUCAGACUAAUUAAUUUGUCGUGGUUAUCGUUAGACUAAACCCUAGUGGUAUUGGUACUAGGUUUUAUCGAAGGAAAAUCAUUUUGAGAGUAUCGAAGCGCUGUCCGAGUGUUGAGUCACCACCUUUCAAUUAAGUGCAUAGUCCAUUUCAUCCUACACAUAGAUAUGAAGUAUUUUAUAUAAACUACGUGCUAUGUGUACAUAUUAUCUGAAUACUUGUUGUCUUUGCCGGAUGAACGUUUUAUACAUGUUUUAAAUGAUUUAAACUGUAUACGUAUUUUAUACGAAUAUGUUGGGUAUGACAUGGGUAGAUGAAUGAUGAGAGAUAUAAGAUGAUGAGAGUAUAUGUUGGCAGUUAUAGACUUAGUGCCUAUUGGACAAACACCGGUAACUAUGGACUUAGUAGCUGUUAGACGUUGGUAGCUAUGGAUUUAGUACCUGUUAGGAAUUGGUAGCUAUGAACUUAGUACCUAUUAGUUGGACGCUGGUAGCUAUGGAUUUAGUACCUGUUAGGAAUUGGUAGCUAUGGACUUAGUACCUAUUAGAUGAACGUUGGUAGCUAUGGAUUUAGUACCCGAUAGAUAGACUAUAGCAGCUAUGGAAUUAGUGCUUUACGAACGAACAUUGGCAGCUAUGGAUUUAGUGUCAGUCCUAUAACCCUGGAAGUAAGGGACUUAGGAAUAAACGAAUGCAGGAUAUAUGACUCUUAGGUUAAAUCCUUAAGAGUAAAGAAGAUAAUGGGGAUGGGUAAUUGGGUGGAUAGUUUGAUUGUUUAACAUAAUAAUUAUAUUAUGGUGGGUUGAAAACCCUAUG